Molecule: long non-coding RNA, 623 nt
Filed under: Prunus dulcis (almond)
Lineage: Eukaryota; Viridiplantae; Streptophyta; Magnoliopsida; Rosales; Rosaceae
Description: sRNA ncRNA
Source: RNAcentral
CGAGUCUCCAAUUCCUGCCAGAAGGGGUUCUCUUUCGUAUCUCACAUUCCAUGCAUCUAGAUAAAUGAUGAAGUCAUCUUAAGAGAAUAAAACAAACAAGGUAUGUACUUCAAAUAACGCUUUAACUGCUUUUCUUCUAAUUCAAUAAAAAAAAACUGAAAUUCACUGUCCAAAUAAACUGAAAUACACAUUUUCAUCCAAAAUGCAUAGCAUUUUCAUUGAAUGCUUCUUCCCAGAUCAUGCUCUCUGUUGUUCAGCAUUUUAUUUUAUAAUUCAUAUUCAUUUUUGGCACACUAUCAAUAAUCGAAACAUUUCAAGCUCAAUUUUGUCGUUUUGGGUUCUCCAUUAAUAUUUCAUCUCAUUUCUAAUUGAAGAAUUUACAAUUGGUGGCAGGGGAAGUGAUGAUAUCUGGGAGAUGUUGCUCAAGCAACAGUUGCUCCCUUCCACUCUUUACACUCUCCACAUCUAUAGACUAUCAAGUCUGAAAUCUUUGCACAGAAAGGGACUUAAAAACAUCACUUCUCUUUCCUUUCUGAGUAUCUCCAAGUGUUUUUCCCGGUAGAAAAGGUAUAAGAAGAUGACAGGAAAAGAUUGGGCCAACAUAUCUCACAUUCCUUGCAUCA